GUUGUCACAUAGCUCAGUUGGUAGAGCAUGAGACUCUCAGUCUCAUAGUUGUGGGUUCGAUCCCCACAUUGGACAACA
Molecule: non-coding RNA, 78 nt
Organism: Podarcis raffonei (Aeolian wall lizard)
Lineage: Eukaryota; Metazoa; Chordata; Lepidosauria; Squamata; Lacertidae
Source: the annotation of a RefSeq genome assembly